Molecule: ribosomal RNA, 419 nt
Filed under: bacterium
Lineage: Bacteria
Description: partial 16S ribosomal RNA
Rfam family: Bacterial small subunit ribosomal RNA
Source: RNAcentral
UGGGGGAUAUUGCACAAUGGGCGCAAGCCUGAUGCAGCGACGCCGCGUGGGGGAUGAAGGCCUUCGGGUUGUAAACUUCUUUUGCUCUGAACAAGGCGCACUUUGGGGUGUGUUGAGUGUAGGGGUUGAUUAGCGCCGGCUAACUACGUGCCAGCAGCCGCGGUAAUACGUAGGGCGCGAGCGUUGUCCGGAAUUAUUGGGCGUAAAGGGCUUGUAGGUGGCUGGUUGCGUCUGUCGUGAAAGCUCAUGGCUUAACUGUGGGUUUGCGGUGGGUACGGGCUGGCUUGAGUGCAGUAGGGGAGGCUGGAAUUCCUGGUGUAGCGGUGGAAUGCGCAGAUAUCAGGAGGAAUACCGGUGGCGAAGGCGGGUCUCUGUGCUGUUACUGACACUGAGGAGCGAAAGCAUGGGGAGCGAACAGG